GAAAGAGAGGAGGAUGGCAUUGCCAUUUCUCUACAAGUAGGCAUCAGUAGAACACGUCUGACUCUCCUCCACCAGUCAUACAAGGAGAAUGGUUUAAUGCCUCCCAUCAAAAAGAGAGCUGGCACAAGCAAGCACAGGUUACACCUGAAGCAUGAGGACUUGCAGCGAGUUGUGAACUUCAUCAACAACUACGCAGAGGAUAAUGCAAUAGUAUUACCAGGACACUACCCAGGACACAAACACUUUGGUGGAAAGCUGCUGCCAUCUAAUGUGACAGAAGCAGCGGUGUGGCUUCUCUAAAAGGAAUCGAGGACAACAUUUGGUAUGUAAAGCAUAAACAACACGUUUUGAUUAUUUAAUUUACCUCCAACAUGAUUGCCACUACUUUUAUUGGUACGGGUAGUCGGGCUGUCUUCCUUCAGGAAUCUGUGUAGAAAAUUGCUGCUUCACAUCUCAAGCACAGACCUGUGCUGGCAGUGCCAGAGGAACAACUAUCAGGUUUUCAGAUCUGCCAAUCUGCCAGAAUUGCCCCCGACUGGUGCUUCGGCCUCAUCAAGCAGCGAACACUUUGUCCGAGAUUGCUGGUGUUAUGAAGGACAGCACUGUGACAGGGGUCAACAUCCCACAGCUGGUUGGACUGGAGGAUGGUACAGUGCUGGAGGAAAGAUAUGGCUGGCAACAACACCUGACUCCGUACUUCAGGCCACUGCCACAAGCAGUACCAGCACUUCAGCUUCGAUGCUCUGGAGCCUGGUGUUGUUGGCACCAAGGAGCAUUCGGACUCAGUCGGGACCAGGUUUCAGCUGCUGCGCAACGCUGAUAUCCUUCCUCCCAUAAAUGGAUUUCACCACUAUCAUAAACUAAGGAAGUGGGCAGAGCGGUCAAGAGGUGGAAACUGGAGACAGUGGUGGGGGAACCAAAGAGGGAGGGGUUAAGCUAAAAUGUAUGUAAAAUGACUAUAUAAACUGAG
Molecule: long non-coding RNA, 970 nt
Organism: Coregonus clupeaformis (lake whitefish)
Lineage: Eukaryota; Metazoa; Chordata; Actinopteri; Salmoniformes; Salmonidae
Exons: 3
Source: RefSeq, a predicted model, not a curated record